AUGCUUCUGCUUGGUCCUGUGGGUCAUCAGAAUCAGGUCAUCACAAAGAUUGGAGCCCAAGUUAUGAAUUGUAGGAGGGAUGUUCUUGAAGAUGAGGUCAUUCCUCUGUUUCCUGGCAUAUAUGAUAAUAAUUAUACUAAAGGAGGUCAUUUCUUGUCAGUCCUUCAUCCAAAUAUUACAUUAGCCCAUGAAUCUUUGAGAAUUAAAUGGAACCUCGCGUAUGUUCGAACCCAGAUAGGUGAAGGAUGCACGGAUGCAGAAACCCCUACCGCUCAUCUUGUUUCAUCUUGCUUUCCAGAUUCAUCAUCUUGA
Molecule: ribosomal RNA, 312 nt
Filed under: Triticum aestivum (bread wheat)
Lineage: Eukaryota; Viridiplantae; Streptophyta; Magnoliopsida; Poales; Poaceae
Description: partial small subunit ribosomal RNA
Source: RNAcentral